GGAGGGAUACCCAAGCGGCCAAAGGGGGCUGACUGUAAAUCAGCUGGCACUGCCUUCGGUGGUUCGAAUCCACCUCCCUCCACCA
Molecule: transfer RNA, 85 nt
Filed under: Gammaproteobacteria bacterium
Lineage: Bacteria; Pseudomonadati; Pseudomonadota; Gammaproteobacteria
Also listed under: 2 other names
Description: tRNA-Tyr
Rfam family: tRNA
About the family: Transfer RNA (tRNA) molecules are approximately 80 nucleotides in length. Their secondary structure includes four short double-helical elements and three loops (D, anti-codon, and T loops).
Source: RNAcentral